RNAcentral lists this ribosomal RNA (894 nucleotides) under uncultured archaeon. Its description in RNAcentral is "bacterial SSU rRNA". It matches the Rfam family "Archaeal small subunit ribosomal RNA", at positions 1 to 901 of the family's 1478-position model. The record is from RNAcentral.
UUUCCGGUUGAUCCCGCCGGACCUGACUGCUAUCGGAUUGAUACUAAGCCAUGCGAGUCGUUGUAGCAAUACAAGGCAUACGGCUCAGUAACGCGUAGUCAACCUAACCUAUGGACGGGAAUAACCUCGGGAAACUGAGAAUAAUGCCCGAUAGAACAUUAUGCCUGGAAUGGUUUAUGUUCCAAAUGAUUUAUCGCCAUAGGAUGGGACUGCGGCCUAUCAGUUUGUUGGUGAGGUAAUGGCCCACCAAGACUAUUACAGGUACGGGCUCUGAGAGGAGUAGCCCGGAGAUGGGUACUGAGACACGGACCCAGGCCCUAUGGGGCGCAGCAGGCGAGAAAACUUUGCAAUGUGCGAAAGCACGACAAGGUUAAUCCGAGUGAUUUCUGCUAAAGAGAUCUUUUGUUAGUCCUAGAAACACUAACGAAUAAGGGGUGGGCAAGUUCUGGUGUCAGCCGCCGCGGUAAAACCAGCACCUCAAGUGGUCAGGAUGAUUAUUGGGCCUAAAGCAUCCGUAGCCGGCUCUGUAAGUUUUCGGUUAAAUCUGUACGCUCAACGUACAGGCUGCCGGGAAUACUGCAGAACUAGGGAGUGGGAGAGGUAGACGGUACUCGGUAGGAAGUGGUAAAAUGCUUUGAUCUAUCGAUGACCACCUGUGGCGAAGGCGGUCUACCAGAACACGUCCGACGGUGAGGGAUGAAAGCUGGGGGAGCAAACCGGAUUAGAUACCCGGGUAGUCCCAGCUGUAAACUAUGCAAACUCAGUGAUGCAUUGGCUUGUGGCCAAUGCAGUGCUGCAGGGAAGCCGUUAAGUUUGCCGCCUGGGAAGUACGUACGCAAGUAUGAAACUUAAAGGAAUUGGCGGGGGAGCACCACAAGGGGUGAAGCCUGCGGU